This 460-nucleotide ribosomal RNA is filed under the name uncultured bacterium. Its description in RNAcentral is "partial 16S ribosomal RNA". It matches the Rfam family "Bacterial small subunit ribosomal RNA", at positions 338 to 795 of the family's 1533-position model. The record is from RNAcentral.
CCUACGGGUGGCAGCAGUGAGGAAUCUUGGUCAAUGGACGAGAGUCUGAACCAGCCAAGUAGCGUGAAGGAUGACUGCCCUAUGGGUUGUAAACUUCUUUUAUAUGGGAAUAAAAUGUUCCACGUGUGGGAUUAUGUAUGUACCAUAUGAAUAAGGAUCGGCUAACUCCGUGCCAGCAGCCGCGGUAAUACGGAGGAUCCGAGCGAUAUCCGGAUUUAUUUGGUUUAAAGUGAGCUUAGGUGGUUGUUUAAGUUAGUUGUGAAAGUUUGCGGCUCAACCGUAAAAUGGCAGUUGAAACUGGCAGUCUUGAGUACAGUAGAGGUGGGCGGAAUUCGUGGUGUAGCGGUGAAAUGCUUAGAUAUCACGAAGAACUCCGAUUGCGAAGGCAGUUCACUGGACUGCAACUGACACUGAGGCUCGAAAGUGUGGGUAUCAAACAGGAUUAGAUACCCGGGUAGUC